GCCCGUCUAGCUCAGUCGGUAGAGUGCAAGGCUCUUAACCUUGUGGUCCUGGGUUCAAGUCCCAGGGUGGGCG
Transfer RNA from Ipomoea nil (Japanese morning glory), 73 nucleotides. It matches the Rfam family "tRNA". From Rfam's summary of the family: Transfer RNA (tRNA) molecules are approximately 80 nucleotides in length. Their secondary structure includes four short double-helical elements and three loops (D, anti-codon, and T loops). NCBI's taxonomy places the organism in Eukaryota, Viridiplantae, Streptophyta, Magnoliopsida, Solanales, Convolvulaceae. The record is from Rfam.